GACGAACGCUGGCGGCGUGCCUAAUACAUGCAAGUAGAACGCUGGAGGGGGAGCUUGCUCUUCUGGAUGAGUUGCGCACGGGUGAGUAACGCGUAGGUAACCUGCCUGGUAGCGGGGGAUAACUAUUGGCAACGAUAGCUAAUACCGCAUAACAGUAGAUGUUGCAUGACAUUUGCUUAAAAUGUGCAAUUGCAUCACUACCAGAUGGACCUGCGUUGUAUUAGCUAGUUGGUGGGGUAACGGCUCACCAAGGCGACGAUACAUAGACGACCUGAGAGGGUGAUCGGCUACACUGGGACGGGGAAACGGCCCAGACUCCUACGGGAGGCAGCAGUAGGGAAGCUUCGGCAAUGGACGGAAGUCUGACCGAGCAACGGCGCGUGAGGGAAGAAGGUUUUCGGAUCGUAAAGGUCUGUUGUAAGAGAAGAACGAGUGUUAGAGUGGAAAGUUCACACUGUGACGGUAUCUUACCAGAAAGGGACGGCUAACUACGUG
This 495-nucleotide ribosomal RNA is filed under the name uncultured bacterium. Its description in RNAcentral is "partial 16S ribosomal RNA". It matches the Rfam family "Bacterial small subunit ribosomal RNA", at positions 28 to 507 of the family's 1533-position model. The record is from RNAcentral.